AUAGGGGUGGGUGUUGAGGGAGUCUGGGCAGUCCAGUGGGAACCCCUUUAUCGGUUCGAACUCUGGGUAGCGAUCGAGGGAUGGUAUCGGAUAUCGACACGAGGAAUGACCGACCGUCCGGCUGCCGGGGAUUUUCGCCGGAAAACUUUUCCGGCGACUUUUCCGGCGAUCGGUUUUGUUGCCUUUUUCCUCGGAAGCCUUUCAGCAGUUCUCGGACAAAAAACUGCUGAAUCGUCGAGGAGAAAUGGGCUUGCCUUGCGUGGGCUGCCAUUAGUUCUUCGAGGCGUUAGGGGUGGCGGCGGUAUAAAGUGUCGGAGUUUUUUUCAUGCAGUUCUCGGACAAAAAUUGCUGAGUGGCCGAGAAGAAUGGGCGUGCAUCAUGCGUGGGCUGACAUGGAUUCUUCGAGGCCUAGGGGUGGCGGUGUGUAUAUAACUUGUUCGCAUGGAUAUUACCGAGAUGUCCCCACGGGCAUCUUUUCACCUCGUCGCCGAAGAGAAUGGGCGUGUCAUGCAUGGGCUGACAUGGACUUCUCCUAGGCCGUUUGGGUGUGGCGGUAUAGUCGCCCUUGCGCACGAAAUAACCGAGAUGUCCCCAUGGGUGCAUCGAUUCCACCCGCCUAGUGUUGGAUGGGCGUGCUUCGUUGGAAAGCAUGGAUCCGCCUAGGCUGUCCCGAGUGUGAGCGAGGUGUGAGUGUCGCCCAUGGGCAAAAAUCGACACCUUGGUGGCUAGGAACUGGAACGAGACGGGUGGCAAAGAUUUCGAGUAGCACUUCAUACUACCGUGGGUUUUUUAAACCUUCCCUAGUUUUGUCGACAUGUUAUUCCGAGAAUUAAGCAAACCGUAACGAAGAUGUUCUUUGGCAACCAUCUUUUUUGAUGGGAGUCCGGCUGUUCGAUACAGCCGGCCAAGGGUGAUGAACGAAAUGUGAACUCCUUGUCUCGCUCUAGGGUUGGAUGGGCGUGCUUCGUUGGAAAGCAUGGAUCCUUCCUAGGCUGUCCCGAGUGUGAGCGAGGUGUGAGUGUCGCCCAUAUGGGCAUCGACACCUUGCGGCUAGGAACUGGAACGAGACGGUAGCAAAGAUUUCCUGAGUAGCACUUCAUACUACCGUGGGUUUUUUAAAACCUUCCCUAAGGUUUUGUUGAUGUUAUUCCGAGAAUUAAAGCAAACCGUAACGAAGAUGUUCUUGGCAACCAUCUUUUUUGGAUGGGAGUCCGGCUGUCUUCGCCGAAAGCCGGCCAAGGGUGAUGAACGAAAUGUGGAACCCCUUUGUCUCGCCUAGGUUGGAUGGGCGUGCUUCGUUGGAAAGCAUGGAUCCGCCUUAGGCUGUCCCGAAGGUAUCUCGCGCUUGUAACGGGGCUUUUGGCUCCUCGGAUUCUCGUCCGUCUUCUUCUUCUUCGAUGCAGAAUGAGUACUUCGGUAGAUUAGUUGGAACGAUUGAUGAUUUUGAGUUAAUUGAAACGUUCGGCGUAAUGAGUGGUGAUCGGAUACGCUAGUGUCUCGUAGGCGCCUCCAUGCUCGCGCAUCGAACUACUCUACCACCUAAUCCUUCUCAGUUAAUCUCACGGGCGAUGUUACGCCUGAUGAUGAGUUCCGGGCCUGUGUUUCGUACCUAAUUUGAAGGAAUUGUUGAGUUCGGUUUACACCCUUUGCCCGCGGCUUCUCCUUCGUGGGGAAGUCGUGGGCAAUGUAAACAUCGGCGCUUGUUCACCUCUCGUCACACGCAUUUGUUGCCUUGCUCGCAUUGGUGAAUGAGUUGCAAGGGUUGAUAUCUCGGAUGCGGAAAAAGUUGUCGACGGUGACUCCGAAGUGAUUCAGUCCCGCCAAAGCUCAUCCGUCCUUCGGGCAAAAGAUGACGGUCAAGACCUCGUCCUUUCUCUCUUUCCAUUGCGUUUGAGAGGAUGUGGCGGGAAUUGCCGUGAUCGAUGAAUGC
Molecule: unclassified non-coding RNA, 1930 nt
Filed under: Arabidopsis thaliana (thale cress)
Lineage: Eukaryota; Viridiplantae; Streptophyta; Magnoliopsida; Brassicales; Brassicaceae
Description: 5' external transcribed spacer
Source: RNAcentral